Molecule: ribosomal RNA, 716 nt
Filed under: Mycobacterium sp.
Lineage: Bacteria; Bacillati; Actinomycetota; Actinomycetes; Mycobacteriales; Mycobacteriaceae
Description: bacterial SSU rRNA
Rfam family: Bacterial small subunit ribosomal RNA
Source: RNAcentral
ACUCGAGUGGCGAACGGGUGAGUAACACGUGGGUGAUCUGCCCUGCACUUUGGGAUAAGCCUGGGAAACUGGGUCUAAUACCGGAUAUACCUCAUGGGAUGCAUGUUUUGUGGGGGAAAGCUUUUGCGGUGUGGGAUGGGCCCGCGGCCUAUCAGCUUGUUGGUGGGGUGAUGGCCUACCAAGGCGACGACGGGUAGCCGGCCUGAGAGGGUGUCCGGCCACACUGGGACUGAGAUACGGCCCAGACUCCUACGGGAGGCAGCAGUGGGGAAUAUUGCACAAUGGGCGCAAGCCUGAUGCAGCGACGCCGCGUGAGGGAUGACGGCCUUCGGGUUGUAAACCUCUUUCACCUACGACGAAGCGCGAGUGACGGUAGUGGGAGAAGAAGCACCGGCCAACUACGUGCCAGCAGCCGCGGUAAUACGUAGGGUGCGAGCGUUGUCCGGAAUUACUGGGCGUAAAGAGCUCGUAGGUGGUUUGUCGCGUUGUUCGUGAAAACUCACAGCUCAACUGUGGGCGUGCGGGCGAUACGGGCAGACUGGAGUACUGCAGGGGAGACUGGAAUUCCUGGUGUAGCGGUGGAAUGCGCAGAUAUCAGGAGGAACACCGGUGGCGAAGGCGGGUCUCUGGGCAGUAACUGACGCUGAGGAGCGAAAGCGUGGGGAGCGAACAGGAUUAGAUACCCUGGUAGUCCACGCCGUAAACGGUGGGUACUA